This 72-nucleotide transfer RNA is filed under the name Aedes aegypti (yellow fever mosquito). It matches the Rfam family "tRNA". Rfam says of the family: Transfer RNA (tRNA) molecules are approximately 80 nucleotides in length. Their secondary structure includes four short double-helical elements and three loops (D, anti-codon, and T loops). The record is from Rfam by way of RNAcentral. Lineage: Eukaryota; Metazoa; Arthropoda; Insecta; Diptera; Culicidae.
GGCUCGGUAGCUUAGUUGGUAAAGCACUCGUCUAGCAUACAAGAGUCCUGGGUUCAAAUCCCAGCCAAGCAC